CUUCAUUCCCCCGUGUCAUGGUCAGUAUAAAACUCAUUCGCUCACGUUCCACUGCCUCAUUUUAGAAGAUCGAAGAUUUGCGUUAUCAGAUUAUGCAUUCCCUCAGGUGCUGUGUGUGGUGGUACUUUAUUUUGCCACAAGCAGAACAUCUGACACAGAAUUAUAGACAAGGAAGAAAUGAAUCACUGUUAAAAUUGGAUCACGAAAAGUGAAUAAGCCCUGACUACAGUUGGAGUCUCCAGAGGGUACCAAGCAUGUAGUGUGGUUGGUCUCAUGGGAAAAGAGCUGCCCUUAAACAGGGUGUGACCUGCACCAUGUAGAUGGAUGCCUGACAACCAAAUGCACCUCUGGCACAGUCUGCACAUACAAGUGCUACUUUUGGUUAACUUCAAGUGAGCCAUUUUAGUGUGUUUGGAAAUACAGUAAGUGAGAGAACUAAUUGGGUUGAAGCCAUGUUAAGCACAUAAGGCUGUCUGGUCACAUGGGGUAUAUGAGAGAGAGUCAAAUUAUCUGCACUUCAGUUAUAUUAAAACCUCUGUUGGCAGCACUGUUUUCAUCAGUACUUUCCAUACGAGGUCGGUCUCCCCAGUCACUGCUGUGCAGGUGUGAACGUGUUACGCCGGAUCAUUUGUAACUGCAGUGCGAGAAACACUUGCUGCCCCACUUAUGAUUUGCGAGAAAGAUCAGUAUGCAGUGAUUAGUUUGUUUUGUGAGGGUGCACAGUAUGGAGAAAGUUUGUUGUGAAGUGUGUAUGAAUGGAUUGAGGACGUUCAAGAAAGGUCACAAGUGUCAGUCAUCCGUGAAGGACCUGGGUGCCCAUCCACAACUGAUGACAUUGAGUGUGCACAUGAAAUGAUUCUAGAUGAGGACAAGGGCCCGUAGAGGUGGCAAAUCUGCUAUGGCCCUCUAUGCAGUAAUCCACAACAGACUUGGGUUUCAAAAGAAGCCAUAUGGGGACAGAGAUUAAUGUCUGAAGAGGUGAAGACAGCGCUUUUGUUGCUUGCAGCUCAGCCUUAAACUUUUUUUUUUUUUUUUUACCCCAUCUGUCAAACUUUUGUACCCCAAAACCAUAAAAAAAAAGUGUAUUGAAGCAGGGAGAUUGUUGAAAAAUGAUGUAUUUGUCUUUUCUGAAAGGUUAUUAAAAUUGUACAACUGUAGUGUGAA
Polypterus senegalus (gray bichir) is the source of this 1164-nucleotide long non-coding RNA. RefSeq lists it as uncharacterized. The transcript has 9 exons. The record is from RefSeq and is a predicted model, not a curated record. Lineage: Eukaryota; Metazoa; Chordata; Cladistia; Polypteriformes; Polypteridae.